CCCCGUCCAUUCCCGGCCCCCCCUCCUAGGGGAGGCCCCAGUGGGAAUUUUCCCCAGGGGGAAACCCUGAUCAACCAUGCCGCGUUGUGAAGAAGCCCUUCGGGUUUUAAGCACUUUCAGUAGGGAGGAAGGGUGAGGCUUAAUACACCUCAGCUGUGACGUUACAUACAGAAGAAGGACCGGCUAACUCCGUGCCAGCAGCCGCGGUAAUACGGAGGGUCCGAGCGUUAAUCGGAAUUACUGGGCGUAAAGCGUGCGCAGGCGGUUUGUUAAGCGAGAUGUGAAAACCCCGGGCUCAACCUGGGAAUUGCAUUUCGAACUGGCAAACUAGAGUCUUGUAGAGGGGGGUAGAAUUCCAGGUGUAGCGGUGAAAUGCGUAGAGAUCUGGAGGAAUACCGGUGGCGAAGGCGGCCCCCCCGACAAAAACUGACGCUCAGGCGAGAAAGGCGGUGGGGAGCAAAACAGGAUUAGAUAACCCUGGUAGUCCAACGCCGUAAACGAUGUCUANCUGCGGAGUUUGGUUUCUUGAAGCACCUGGGCUCUCAGAGCUAACAGCAGUUAAGUAGACCCGCACUGGGGAGUAUCAGGCCGGGCUAAGGU
Molecule: ribosomal RNA, 600 nt
Filed under: bacterium CP-2 ASCBAC
Lineage: Bacteria
Description: bacterial SSU rRNA
Rfam family: Bacterial small subunit ribosomal RNA
Source: RNAcentral